AAGCAGAGCUUGCUCUGUGGAUCAGUGGCGAACGGGUGAGUAACACGUGAGCAAUCUGCCCCUGACUCUGGGAUAAGCGCUGGAAACGGCGUCUAAUACCGGAUACGAGCUGCGAAGGCAUCUUCAGCAGCUGGAAAGAAUUUCGGUCAGGGAUGAGCUCGCGGCCUAUCAGCUUGUUGGUGAGGUAACGGCUCACCAAGGCGUCGACGGGUAGCCGGCCUGAGAGGGUGACCGGCCACACUGGGACUGAGACACGGCCCAGACUCCUACGGGAGGCAGCAGUGGGGAAUAUUGCACAAUGGGCGAAAGCCUGAUGCAGCAACGCCGCGUGAGGGACGACGGCCUUCGGGUUGUAAACCUCUUUUAGCAGGAAAGAAGCGAAAGUGACGGUACCUGCAGAAAAAGCGCCGGCUAACUACGUGCCAGCAGCCGCGGUAAUACGUAGGGCGCAAGCGUUAUCCGGAAUUAUUGGGCGUAAAGAGCUCGUAGGCGGUCUGUCGCGUCUGCUGUGAAAACCCGAGGCUCAACCUCGGGCCUGCAGUGGGUACGGGCAGACUAGAGUGCGGUAGGGGAGAUUGGAAUUCCUGGUGUAGCGGUGGAAUGCGCAGAUAUCAGGAGGAACACCGAUGGCGAAGGCAGAUCUCUGGGCCGUAACUGACGCUGAGGAGCGAAAGGGUGGGGAGCAAACAGGCUUAGAUACCCUGGUAGUCCACCCCGUAAACGUUGGGAACUAGUUGUGGGGUCCAUUCCACGGAUUCCGUGACGCAGCUAACGCAUUAAGUUCCCCGCCUGGGGAGUACGGCCGCAAGGCUAAAACUCAAAGGAAUUGACGGGGACCCGCACAAGCGGCGGAGCAUGCGGAUUAAUUCGAUGCAACGCGAAGAACCUUACCAAGGCUUGACAUAUACGAGAACGGGCCAGAAAUGGUCAACUCUUUGGACACUCGUAAACAGGUGGUGCAUGGUUGUCGUCAGCUCGUGUCGUGAGAUGUUGGGUUAAGUCCCGCAACGAGCGCAACCCUCGUUCUAUGUUGCCAGCACGUAAUGGUGGGAACUCAUGGGAUACUGCCGGGGUCAACUCGGAGGAAAGGUGGGGGAUGACGUCAAAUCAUCAUGCCCCU
This 1120-nucleotide ribosomal RNA is filed under the name marine bacterium BL40_012. RNAcentral's name for it is "bacterial SSU rRNA". It matches the Rfam family "Bacterial small subunit ribosomal RNA", at positions 71 to 1202 of the family's 1533-position model. The record is from RNAcentral.